CAAUAGAUUUUGCAAUUUUGACUAUCAUUGUUGUUUAAUUUAUUUAUUUUCAGGUACCCCUGCCAGAAGGACAGGAGCGCCGAGUCGUUGGAAUCGUCAGGAGUCAUCACGGGCAGGCGCCUGUAGUGUGUUGGCUGUGAUUUGUUGUGGCCGCUGGAGGAGCGCCGCUUGCAACGAGCUCGUCCCGGUCGGUGUUGCAAGCAGUUGCAUAAGUUUUGAAGAAGCUAGAAUCCCGCGCAGCCGUCAUUGGGAUGUAAUGGAGCUGCUGUCAACAUGGUGGUGGAAACGAAGGUUGCACGGUGCGCCGCGUCCUGUGGCCAUUGCGUCGGGACUGGCAGCUAGGAGCUUCCAGAUCAGGAAAAGUUGCCGAGGACCGCCGCAUCGGAAGAGGUCAUGGUGUUUCAGGAUGUUCCGGGUCAAGGAUUGUUGUCGGGGACCGUAGCAGCGAUUUGGGCCAUGGAAUUGAAUGUAAAGAUAAAUUUUAGGGGCCCAGGCUGAACGAUAUUUGGAGGUGUGUUUUUUUUUUAAAGGCUGUUCUGAAGGUGCGUUUGUAGCAGCUAAUUUAGAGGCCGUCGUAGCUGUGAUGCCGUGGUUUUUGGGUUCUUCAAGCUUGCGAUUAAUAUGGAGGUACAUUUGUUGCAGCUUUUAUUGAGGCCGUCGCAGCUGAGAUCCCGUGGUUUUUGAGUUCUUCACGUUUGAGAUUAAUCUGGAGGUACGUUUGUAGCAGCUGAUAUUAAAGCCGUCGCAGCUGGUAUGCCAAGGUUUGCGAUUAAUCUAGAGGUACCAGUUUGCGAUUAGUCUGGAGUUUUCAGGUACGUUUGUA
Drosophila sechellia is the source of this 823-nucleotide long non-coding RNA. RefSeq lists it as uncharacterized. NCBI's taxonomy places the organism in Eukaryota, Metazoa, Arthropoda, Insecta, Diptera, Drosophilidae. The transcript is spliced from 8 exons. The record is from RefSeq and is a predicted model, not a curated record.